UGUACGGGCGCGAACACUCAAAACAAUAACGAGAGCUUCAAUCACUGUGUGUGGCAACUAGCCCCAAAGCACGUAUUCUGCGGCAAGCAGAUAGUAGAAAUCGCUACGCAGUGUGCUGUGUGCACCUUCAAUGAAGGAAAUCGGAAGGGCACACUCUGA
Molecule: long non-coding RNA, 159 nt
Filed under: Neodiprion lecontei (redheaded pine sawfly)
Lineage: Eukaryota; Metazoa; Arthropoda; Insecta; Hymenoptera; Diprionidae
Description: uncharacterized LOC124295335
Source: RNAcentral